UACGGAGGGUGCAAGCGUUAAUCGGAAUUACUGGGCGUAAAGCGUGCGUAGGUGGUUUGUUAAGUCCGUUGUGAAAGCCCCGAGCUCAACUUGGGAAUUGCAGUGGAUACUGGCAAGCUGGAGUGCGGUAGAGGAAGGUGGAAUUCCCGGUGUAGCGGUGAAAUGCGUAGAGAUCGGGAGGAACACCAGUGGCGAAGGCGGCCUUCUGGACCAGCACUGACACUCAAGCACGAAAGCGUGGGGAGCAAACAGGG
Molecule: ribosomal RNA, 254 nt
Filed under: uncultured bacterium
Lineage: Bacteria
Description: partial 16S ribosomal RNA
Rfam family: Bacterial small subunit ribosomal RNA
Source: RNAcentral